Molecule: ribosomal RNA, 215 nt
Filed under: uncultured bacterium
Lineage: Bacteria
Description: partial 16S ribosomal RNA
Rfam family: Bacterial small subunit ribosomal RNA
Source: RNAcentral
AUCCCAUUCGGAUUGCAGGCUGCAACCCGCCUGUAUGAAGUUGGAAUCGCUAGUAAUCGCGGAUCAGCAUGCCGCGGUGAAUACGUUCCCGGGCCUUGUACACACCGCCCGUCACACCAUGAGAGUCGGGAACACCCGAAGUCCGUAGCCUAACCGCAAGGAGGGCGCGGCCGAAGGUGGGUUCGAUAAUUGGGGUGAAGUCGUAACAAGGUACC